UUUGGGGAAUGAUGCCAAGUAUCAAAAUAUUUGCCUGAGCACUUGCUAUGCUAAGUGGUUCUUAUAUUUUGCACGUCAGUCUGAUCCCUUU
Molecule: small nucleolar RNA, 91 nt
Organism: Neltuma alba
Lineage: Eukaryota; Viridiplantae; Streptophyta; Magnoliopsida; Fabales; Fabaceae
Product: small nucleolar RNA Z122
Exons: 1
Source: RefSeq, a predicted model, not a curated record